This 1322-nucleotide ribosomal RNA is filed under the name metagenome. RNAcentral's name for it is "bacterial LSU rRNA". It matches the Rfam family "Bacterial large subunit ribosomal RNA", at positions 1561 to 2925 of the family's 2925-position model. The record is from RNAcentral.
AGUGGAUGGGGAGCAACCUAGUUGUGCGUGUGUAAAGGUAGUGCCAAGAAAAGCGAUGAUCAUGUUGAAAAUCAAUUCCCGGUACCCGAAACCGACACAGGUGGGCAAGUAGAGAAUACUAAGGGGCGCGAGGUAACUCUCUCCAAGGAACUCGGCAAAAUGACCCCGUAACUUAGGGAGAAGGGGUGCCACCGAGAGGUGGUCGCAGUGAAGAGGCCCAGGCGACUGUUUAGCAAAAACAUAGGUCUCUGCAAACUCGAAAGAGGAGGUAUAGGGGCUGACGCCUGCCCAGUGCCGGAAGGUUAAAGAAGUUGGUCAGUUUUAGGAUGAAGCUAGCGACUGAAGCCCCGGUGAACGGCGGCCGUAACUAUAACGGUCCUAAGGUAGCGAAAUUCCUUGUCGGGUAAGUUCCGACCCGCACGAAAGGCGUAACGAUCUGGGCGCUGUCUCGGAGAGAGGCUCGGCGAAAUAGGAUUGUCUGUGAAGAUACGGACUACCUGCAUUUGGACAGAAAGACCCUAUGAAGCUUUACUAUAGCUUGGAAUUGUGUUCGGGCUUCCUGUGCGCAGGAUAGGUGGGAGGCGUAGAAGGUAUUCUUGUGGGGAUACUGGAGCCAACGGUGAGAUACCACUCUCAGGAGGCUAGAAUUCUAACUUAAUUAAGGACAGUUUCAGGUGGGUAGUUUGACUGGGGCGGUCGCCUCCAAAAAGGUAACGGAGGCGUACAAAGGUUCCCUCAGACUGGUUGGAAAUCAGUCGAAGAGUGCAAAGGCAGAAGGGAGCUUGACUGCGAGAAGUACAGUUCGAGCAGGGUGGAAACACGGUCUUAGUGAUCCGACGGUGCUGUGUGGAAGGGCCGUCGCUCAACGGAUAAAAGUUACUCUAGGAUAACAGGCUGAUCUCCCCCAAGAGUUCACAUCGACGGGGAGGUUUGGCACCUCGAUGUCGGCUCAUCGCAACCUGGGGCGGAAGUACGUCCCAAGGGUUGGGCUGUUCGCCCAUUAAAGCGGUACGUGAGCUGGGUUCAGAACGUCGUGAGACAGUUCGGUCCAUAUCCGAUGUAGGCGUGAGAAUAUUGAGAGGAGCCUUCCUUAGUACGAGAGGACCGGGAAGGACGCACCGCUGGUGUACCUGUUAUGAUGCCAAUUGUAAACGCAGGGUAGCCAAGUGCGGAGAGGAUAACCGCUGAAAGCAUCUAAGUGGGAAGCCCACCUCAAGAUGAGUAUUCUGGUGUAAGGUCACGGGAAGACGACCCGUAAAUAGGCACGAGGUGGAAGUGCAGAGAUGUAUGAAGCCGAAGUGUACUAAUAGACCGUCGACUUG